CCACAUUGUCGAAAUUCUCACUUCCAGCUUGUGACUCCUGGACAAUUUACUCAGGCACAAGGACCAGCCAGGAGAGCCAGACACAGCCAGGCACUGCCAUGCACUCACAGAUGGUUGGACCGCAGAGCUGCCGAGAGGAGGGCGGUCGAUGAGAGGCAAGGGUCAGCUACUGGACCCAUCAUGAACGCCCACCUCCGCCGCCUCUCCAUCACAGCCGUCCACUAUGCCCGAAGAUGGAGCCUUCUGUUUCAUUCUGGGAGACAGCCCCAGACUGAAAAGGCACCAGAAAGCCCAAAGCGAUAGCCUAAUUAAAAAAAAAAAAGUAAACAAGAAGAGAGGGUGAAGGGGUCCCCAGUGCACUAAACGCUAUUUAUUUAUUUAUUUACUUUUCAAUAUAUAAAAUAAACAGUAAAAAAGAGAAGAGACGGAAGGACAAUGUGUU
This 442-nucleotide long non-coding RNA is filed under the name Rattus norvegicus (Norway rat). RNAcentral describes it as "long non-coding RNA NONRATT031571". The record is from RNAcentral. Lineage: Eukaryota; Metazoa; Chordata; Mammalia; Rodentia; Muridae.